AGAGUUUGAUCCUGGCUCAGGACGAACGCUGGCGGCGUGGAUUAGGCAUGCAAGUCGAACGAGGAUAUAUCCUUCGGGAUAUAAGCCGAGUGGCACAAGGGUGAGCAAUGCAUAGAUUACCUACCUUUAGGAUAAGGGCAACUUUGUGAAAACGGAGCUAAUACUUAAUAAUACAAAAGAAAAUAAUUUUCUUUUGUCAAAGGGAGGGUAGCAAUACCUUUCGCCUAGAGAGGGGUUUAUGUCCUAUCAGCUUGUUGGUGGGGUAAUAGCCUACCAAGGCGAAGACGGGUAGCCGGUUUAAGAGGAUGGUCGGCCACACUGGGACUGAGACACUGCCCAGACUUCUACGGAAGGCUGCAGUCGAGAAUCUUUCGCAAUGCCCGAAAGGGUGACGAAGCGACGCCGCGUGGGUGAAGAAGGCCUUCGGGUUGUAAAGCCCUGUCAGGAGUUAUGAAAUGUAAGUACGCUAAUAUCGUAUUUAUUUGACAAAGGCUCCAAAGGAAGCCACGGCUAACUCUGUGCCAGCAGCCGCGGUAAUACAGAGGUGGCGAGCGUUGUUCGGAAUUAUUGGGCGUAAAGAGCACGUAGGUGGGUUUGCAAGUCAGAUGUGAAAGCCUUCUGUUCAACGGAAGAAUUGCAUCUGAAACUGCUAAUCUUGAGUAUAGGAGGGGAGAAUGGAACUUCUGGUGGAGCGGUGAAAUGCGUAGAUAUCAGAAGGAACGCCGGCGGCGAAAGCGAUUCUCUGGCCUAUUACUGACACUCAGUGUGCGAAAGCUAGGGGAGCAAACGGGAUUAGAUACCCCGGUAGUCCUAGCCGUAAACGAUGGGCACUAAGUAGAGGGGAUUACCUAUAUUCUCUCUGCCGUAGCUAACGCAUUAAGUGCCCCGCCUGGGGAGUACGGCCGCAAGGCUAAAACUCAAAAGAAUUGACGGGGGCUCGCACAAGCGGUGGAGCAUGUGGCUUAAUUCGAUGCAACGCGAAAAACCUUACCGGGGCUUGACAUGAUAGAAGUAGGAACCUGAAAGGGGGACGAACGGUAUCCAGUCCGUAGCUAUUACAGGUGUUGCAUGGCUGUCGUCAGCUCGUGUCGUGAGACGUUGGGUUAAGUCCCCUAACGAGCGAAACCCUUGUUUUUAGUUACCAGCGGGUUAUGCCGGGUACUCUAGAAAGACUGCCGUCGUCAAGACGGAGGAAGGUGGGGAUGACGUCAAGUCAUCAUGGCCCUUAUGCCCCGGGCUGCACACGUGCUACAAUGGUCGGUACAGACGGAAGCGAAGCCGAGAGGUGAAGCGAAUCCUAAAAAGCCGAUCUCAGUUCGGAUUGGAGGCUGAAAUUCGCCUCCAUGAAGUUGGAAUCGCUAGUAAUCGCGGAUCAGCAAUGUCGCGGUGAAUAUGUUCCCGAGCCUUGUACACACCGCCCGUCAAGCCACCCAAGCAGGAUGCACCCGAAAACAUUAUAUCUAACCAGGGCAACUUGGAGGAAAAUGUUGAAGGAGUGUUUUGUGAGGAGGACUAAGUCGUAACAAGGU
RNAcentral lists this ribosomal RNA (1529 nucleotides) under uncultured bacterium. RNAcentral's name for it is "bacterial SSU rRNA". It matches the Rfam family "Bacterial small subunit ribosomal RNA". The record is from RNAcentral.